Molecule: long non-coding RNA, 762 nt
Organism: Monopterus albus (swamp eel)
Lineage: Eukaryota; Metazoa; Chordata; Actinopteri; Synbranchiformes; Synbranchidae
Exons: 4
Source: RefSeq, a predicted model, not a curated record
CCCAGAGCUCAGCCCCUUGGUGCAUGCCCAACCACAAAGUACAGGAAAUGUACUUUUAGAUAUGGAACAACAACUGCAGGCAAAUAGCAUUCGUAUAAAAGUUAUGGAGCAGGAAAACACUGCCCUACACAGCAGCCUUGAGAAACUAAGGGAAAGAACACAACAUAGUGGCACCCAGGAUGUUUCACCUCAGCAGAAAUGGAGCCUUUCUUUGCUCAGCACACCAGCAGAAAAACUGACACAAAUGCAAAAGAGUCUAUUGCAGAAUAGCAGUGAAGCACAGCGGGGACACAAAUGGAAGGAAGCAAGAGGUAGAGAAAGUGGUCUGGUGUCAGAAACGUCAGAGGAUUGUGUGUCCACUGUUGCUGCCUCCCCCUCGUCCCUGCAAAUUCACUUUCAACCCAUCCACCUCAACAGGGGCUCCAGUGCUGCCAAAAUCCAUUCAAAAACAGGCAGUGCUUCUCUUCUGUCUCAAUCUAGAUCCUUGAAUCAGAGAAGAAAAUGAAGCCCUGAAGACAUAAAUGCAUUUAAAUAGAAGACUGUUUUGCAUGUAGAGAAAACACAGCUUUAUGUAAUGUAAGGAUUUGUGGUUCAUAAAAGUAUUAUUUUCUACAUUAAUAUGUUAUGGUCUCUUCCUGCAUAUUAUACAUGUACUAUUACAUUAACAUGGUGUACAUUUAAAAUGUUGGAUUACCACUGUUACCACUAGAUCUCUCAUUAUGCUACAGUGAAUAUGCUGUAUACUGUAUACAAUACAAUUAC